CCAGCAGCGCCAGUCCCAGAAUAUGGCCAAUAAUGAUGCUGAGGGGCGGGGAGCAGCGCGGUCUGCAGACCCACUGAGUCUGAGAGUCUGGCUGGGUGCCCAGGAGAGGUAGCAGGCAGCGGUGGCGGAGAUGGGCUCACACUUCUGAAUCACAAGUCAACCUACAGUCGCCAACACCUCUGAAUCACAUCUCAACCUUCAUUCGAAGACCCGAGGCGACUAUUUUUUUCUUUUUUUCGAGGGGUUUCGCUUGUGGCGCUCAUAAAGACUGGUACACUGAAGCUAAAGCAGGAGCGGGAAGGUUUAUAGUUGCAUUCCGACGCUCAGCACUCCUGUCGCCUCACCUGCCUGGCCGGAGAACAGGUCCGCUGUGGUAAUAAUGCAUCCAGAUAAGUACUUACCUGAACUGGUGGCCGAGAAAAGCAGCUUGGACCCCUCCUUUGUGCAUGCGUUGCGCCUGCUUGCAGAAGAGAUUGAGAAGAAUGACGGAGAUGAAUUGAGAAAAGAUGGUGACACAAAUAAAUACCUAGAUAUCAUCAGCAAUAAAAAUAUCAAGCUCUCCGAAAGAGUUCUCAUUCCAAUCCAACAGUAUCCAAAGUUUAAUUUUGUCGGAAAGCUGCUGGGACCACGGGGAAAUUCAAUGAAACGAUUACAAGAGGAGACGGGAGUGAAGAUGUCCAUCCUCGGCAAAGGGUCCAUGCGGGAUAAAGGCAAGGAAGAAGAAUUAAGGAAAAGUGGGGAGGCCAAAUACGCCCAUCUGAGUAAUGAUCUUCAUGUUUUAAUUGAAGUCUUUGCUCCACCUGGAGAGGCCUAUUCCCGUAUGAGUCAUGCCUUGGAGGAGAUAAAAAAAUUCCUAGUUCCAGACUACAAUGACGAGAUCAGACAGGAGCAACUGAGAGAGCUCUCCCUGUUGAACGGCUCAGACGAGUCGAGCAGAGGGAGGAGUGCGCAAGGAAGGAGUGUACGACCAGCAACCACAAUAUCCACAGGGGGCCACAGAGGCACAGGAAGGAGUGCAGCAGCACCUCGGGGGACAGCGGCAGUGGCACACAGCAAACUUCCCACAACUGUUUUAACGAGGGAGGUACAAGCCCCGAGAGCCAGGGGGGCAGCAGGGAGUGCAGGAUACAGGCCCCCGCUGUUAGCAGUCACACAUGAAUCAUACGACGACUAUGGCUACGAUGAUGGGUAUGGUGGAGAAUAUGAUGACGAGAGUUACGAAGCCUAUGACGAUAACUACAGCAAUCAGUCAAAGAGCAUCUCAGAAUAUUAUGAAUAUGGACAUGGAACCAGUGAUGAAUCUUACAACAACUAUGAGGAGGAGUGGGCGACUACCCGUCCCAAUCUCAAAGCCCCAGUUUUACGGCUGACAAGAGGGGGCUACAGAAAACAUCCCUAUGCUGAGGAAACUAUUGUGCGAUUUGGUCAAAACAGAGACGAAUGUAACAGAGCAGAAGGCACAGAAAUCUGCUCCCAGAGGACUGAAGAUUGUACUCAGCCAUCAGACAUGUUCGGGUCUUUCAUCAGUCAGGAAAGUAGCUUGAGAUGAGAGGAACGGUGAUGGAACAUGAAACAUGAUGGCAAAGACAAAUGACUCACAGGUUGGUGAGUGUUACGAAAGACAACGAGACGAGCCACAUUUCUGGUGGACAAUAUUUUUUUUAAUUUGUGCUAAAGGACCUAAGUGUUAAAUUUGUUUUACAUGUAAAAAUGUCUUCAGGUUAGCAAAUUUUGAAUUCAACCAAAAUCCACACCCUUGCAGCAGAAAAAAAAACACUUGCUUCUGAUGUUAGAAAUGUGUCAGUUCUGUCCAAUUUUAUCAUAACACUAUUUUGUGUUAUGGCCUAAAGUAAAAAAACAAACUUAUAAGCAAAUCUCAACAUGAGUGGGCCUUAUUUCAGCCGUGUUGUCAUCUGGCGGCUGCUGUCAUUACCAACCUGAGUGCACCCUGUGUCCGUUCCCAGCGCUCUAAUAAAUGGUUCACUUAGUGCUGCCAACAUGAACAUGUUAGUUCAUUAAGCAAGUCGAGCCCACUGCUGGCGUUGUGGCCAACUGUCAAAGCUAUUUCACGAGCCCAACCCAUCAGUGCCGCCGGAAUAUACAGUACAGCAGCCAGACACAGCUCACACAUCGUGUCAUUUUCUGAGUGGCAGUCAUAAUGAAUGGUGCCGUCUGCAGCUCUACAUAUGGUGCACAGUAAUUAACACUUGAGAUUGAUAGAAGCAAUACAAGCAUCCCACUGUCCGAAUAAAUGUUCAUGAAUGUCUUUCUUUCUGAAUAUGUUUGGUUAUAUUUGAUUUACAAAACAAUAAAUCGAUAGCCUCAUAGGCACAUCUCAGCUUCUCGCAACAUGUUCAACUUGAACAGCUUGCAGGGCCCACGAGUCACAUUUGAUGCAGAAGAUCAUCCAUCGCUUAUCUUUUUUUGGGUGGAAAGGGAUUUCAAGAAUCUGCUCAAUUGUUUAGCAGACUCAUUUCAUCAAAACAUCCACCCCUGAUUCUGGCAUUUGUUUAAUUAAUUUGCUCCAUGACGUACACUCCACACAGCCUGUCAGACAGCACAGCAUUUAUCUUCCUCGAUACCACUUGAUCUAAAUCUUGCAAACACAAAGACACCAAAGUGGGUCAGGAUCUAGGCGAGUACCCAGACAUGUUCAAUGAUGCAAAACAGUGCAUGGUUAUAACUCCAACACAAAGCAUUUCCCUGUGCCAGGGACGGGUACCUGAGCAAACUCAGCUCUGUUUAGACAGCUGCUUGAUGAGCCAGAAUAGAAAACGAGGGCUUAUAAUCACCCGAGUCUAAAAGGGCCUCUUUACCGGCACAGCACUUGUGAUGAAAUGGUGUGCAGAGUCAGAGUCCUUGAUGUGUUUUGAUGAUUUUCUUGUUGCGACAGCAGGCUGGGAUCUAAGCCAGGUGACAGAGGGUGAGGCUGUAUAGCUUGAGCUGCAGUUUUGAAAAGUUGUGUGCACUGUAGACAGACUACUAUACGUACAUGAUCUUAGCUCCCUUUUGCACAAAAGCCGGCCCCCUCCAGCUCAUUAUAGCUAUUUUUGGAGAGAGGAUGAGUUUUGACAUGUUGUGUUGCUUUGUGCCUGUGGAUAAACUAAGCAGCAAGUGAA
Perca fluviatilis (European perch) is the source of this 3119-nucleotide RNA transcript. It is a transcript of the gene named KH domain containing, RNA binding, signal transduction associated 2, with no coding region annotated. The transcript has 13 exons. The record is from RefSeq and is a predicted model, not a curated record. Lineage: Eukaryota; Metazoa; Chordata; Actinopteri; Perciformes; Percidae.